Molecule: ribosomal RNA, 389 nt
Filed under: uncultured eukaryote
Lineage: Eukaryota
Description: partial 18S ribosomal RNA
Rfam family: Eukaryotic small subunit ribosomal RNA
Source: RNAcentral
CAAUAGCGUAUAUUAACUUUGUUGCAGUUAAAAGGCUCGUAGUCGAAUCUAUGGCUCUGUAGGCCUGGCCCGCUGUCUAGUACAUCGAGCGCCGGCGCCUACGGGUCAUCCUUCUGGAAAGCACUUCUGCCCUUGAUUGGUGCGGUCGCUGUGAUCCAGAUCAUUUACUGUGAGUAAAUCAAAGUGUUCAACGCAGGCUUGUGAAGCUUGUAUGCUCUAGCAUGGAAUAAUAAGAUAGGACUUGGGUUCUAUUUUGUUGGCUUCUAGGACCAAAGUAAUGAUCGAUAGGGACAGUUGGGGGUGCUAGUAUUUAACGGUCAGCGGUGAAAUGCUCAGACCCGUUAAAGACUAACUUAUGCGAAAGCAUUCACCAAGGAUGUCUUCUUUGA